CAGCAGUGGGAAUCUUAGACAAUGGGCGCAAGCCUGAUCUAGCCAUGCCGCGUGAGUGAUGAAGCCGUUAGGGUCGUAAAGCUCUUUCGCCAGGGGAUGAUAAUGACAGUACCUGGUAAAGAAACCCCGGACUAACUCCGUGCCAGCAGCCGCGGUAAUACGGAGGGGUUAGCGUUGUUCGGAAUUACUGGGCGUAAAGCGCGCGUAGGCGGAUUAGUCAGUUAGAGGUGAAAUCCCAGGGCUCAACCCUGGAACUGCCUUUAAUACUGCUAGUCUUGAGUUCGAGAGAGGUGAGUGGAAUUCCGAGUGUAGAGGUGAAAUUCGUAGAUAUUCGGAGGAACACCAGUGGCGAAGGCGGCUCACUGGCUCGAUACUGACGCUGAGGUGCGAAAGUGUGGGGAGCAAACAGGAUUAGAUACCCUGGUAG
Molecule: ribosomal RNA, 427 nt
Filed under: uncultured bacterium
Lineage: Bacteria
Description: bacterial SSU rRNA
Rfam family: Bacterial small subunit ribosomal RNA
Source: RNAcentral